Molecule: ribosomal RNA, 253 nt
Filed under: uncultured bacterium
Lineage: Bacteria
Description: partial 16S ribosomal RNA
Rfam family: Bacterial small subunit ribosomal RNA
Source: RNAcentral
UACAGAGGUCCCAAGCGUUGUUCGGAUUCACUGGGCGUAAAGGGUGCGUAGGCGGUCGGGUAAGUCUGACGUGAAAUCUUCAAGCUCAACUUGGAAACUGCGUCGGAUACUAUUCGGCUAGAGGAAUGGAGGGGAGACUGGAAUACUUGGUGUAGCAGUGAAAUGCGUAGAUAUCAAGUGGAACACCAGUGGCGAAGGCGGCUCACUGGCCCGGUACUGACGCUGAGGCGCGAAAGCGUGGGGAGCGAACAGG